RNAcentral lists this ribosomal RNA (1477 nucleotides) under metagenome. RNAcentral describes it as "bacterial SSU rRNA". It matches the Rfam family "Bacterial small subunit ribosomal RNA". The record is from RNAcentral.
AGAGUUUGAUCCUGGCUCAGAACGAACGCUGGCGGUAUGCUUAACACAUGCAAGUCGAACGCGAAAGUCCUUUCGGGGGCGAGUAGAGUGGCGCACGGGUGAGUAACGCGUAGAUAACCUACCUUUUAGUCUGGAAUAACCCCGCGAAAGUGGGGCUAAUACUGGAUAAUACAAUUUGACUAAUGUUAGAUUGUUGAAAGACGCAAGUUGCUAUUAGAUGGGUCUGCGUAUCAUUAGCUAGUUGGUAGGGUAACGGCCUACCAAGGCUACGAUGAUUAGCGGGUCUGAGAGGAUGAUCCGCCACACUGGAACUGAGACACGGUCCAGACUCCUACGGGAGGCAGCAGUGGGGAAUUUUGCGCAAUGGGGGAAACCCUGACGCAGCAAUACCGCGUGGGUGAAGAAGGCUCUUGGGUCGUAAAGCCCUUUGUCCCAGGGAAGAUAAUGACGGUACCUGGGGAAUAAGCACCGGCUAACUCCGUGCCAGCAGCCGCGGUAAUACGGAGGGUGCAAGCGUUGUUCGGAUUCACUGGGCGUAAAGAGCGCGUAGGCGGUUCUAUAAGCUAAGGGUGAAAUCCCCGAGCUUAACUUGGGAAUUGCUCUUAGAACUGUAGAACUAGAGAGAGUUAGAGGCAGAUGGAAUUCCUGGUGUAGAGGUGAAAUUCGUAGAUAUCAGGAGGAACACCGGUGGCGAAGGCGGUCUGCUGGAGCUUAUCUGACGCUGAGGCGCGAAAGCAUGGGGAGCGAACAGGAUUAGAUACCCUGGUAGUCCAUGCUGUAAACGAUGGAUACCAGCUGUUUGACCAAUCGACAGGUCAAGUGGCGCAGCUAACGCGAAGAGUAUCCCGCCUGGGGAGUACGGUCGCAAGACUAAAACUCAAAGGAAUUGACGGGGGCCCGCACAAGCGGUGGAGCAUGUGGUUUAAUUCGACGCAACGCGAAGAACCUUACCUGGGUUUGACAUCCUCGGACGGUGCUAGAAAUAGUACUUUUUCUUCGGAAACCGAGUGACAGGUGCUGCAUGGCUGUCGUCAGCUCGUGUCGUGAGAUGUUGGGUUAAGUCCCGCAACGAGCGCAACCCUUGUCCUUAGUUACCAGCACGUAAAGGUGGGGACUCUAGGGAGACUGCCGGUGUUAAGCCGGAGGAAGGUGGGGAUGACGUCAAGUCCUCAUGGCCCUUAUAUCCAGGGCUACACACGUGCUACAAUGGCAACUACAAAGAGCUGCGAGACUGCGAAGUCAAGCAAAUCUAAAAAAAGUUGUCUCAGUUCGGAUCGCAGUCUGCAACUCGACUGCGUGAAGUUGGAAUCGCUAGUAAUCGUAGAUCAGCAUGCUACGGUGAAUACGUUCCCGGGCCUUGUACACACCGCCCGUCACACCAUGGGAGUUGAUAUUAGCAGAAAACGCUGGGCUAACCCUCACGGGAGGUAGGUGUUCAAGUUGAUAUUGAUGACUGGGGUGAAGUCGGAACAAGGUA